UUGCUCAAUAAUAUUGAUUAGCCUUGCGCGUAAGGAAUCUGAUCAACCCGAAAUCUUCGCCGCCCUUCCCCUAAAACCCUACACCACGAACGACGCCGUUCGAGUGGUCUCUCUUUCUCUGUGUCUAGGGCUUCAGUAACCAGAACAGAAACAAUGGCCCCGAUUAACGGGAACGGCGAUGUUGAGCAGCAGAACAUGUCGAACGAGGACCCAAUGGAGUACCACAAGUCUGGCUUUUGGUUGAACGUAGAAAGAUGAGGGGUUUUAAGUGAGCUCAGUUUGUACAAUCUUUCCUAAAUACAGAGAAACAGAUUUGCAACAAAGUUGGCCAGUGGUGAAAUCUGCUUUAGAAGAGUAUGUCAUUUCAUGUGCACUGAAUCUGGUUGACGGUUGCAUGACAGUCUCAACAACCAGAAGGACUAGAAAUGCAUAUAUUUUUGUCUAGGCUAGGGAUCUUCUUAAGCUUUUGUCAGCAA
Long non-coding RNA from Rosa chinensis, 476 nucleotides. RefSeq lists it as uncharacterized. The record is from RefSeq and is a predicted model, not a curated record. The transcript is spliced from 3 exons. Lineage: Eukaryota; Viridiplantae; Streptophyta; Magnoliopsida; Rosales; Rosaceae.